Molecule: ribosomal RNA, 253 nt
Filed under: uncultured bacterium
Lineage: Bacteria
Description: partial 16S ribosomal RNA
Rfam family: Bacterial small subunit ribosomal RNA
Source: RNAcentral
GACGGGGGAUGCAAGUGUUAUCCGGAAUCACUGGGCGUAAAGCGUCUGCAGGUGGUUUCCUAAGUCCACUGUUAAACCUUGAGGCUCAACCUCCAAUCUGCAUUGGAAACUAGGAGACUUGAGUAUAGUAGGGGUAGAGGGAAUUUCCAGUGGAGCGGUGAAAUGCGUAGAUAUUGGAAAGAACACCGAUGGCGAAGGCACUCUACUGGGCUAUUACUGACACUCAGAGACGAAAGCUAGGGGAGCAAAUGGG